CAAUAGCGUAUAUUAAAGUUGUUGCGGUUAAAAAGCUCGUAGUUGGAUUUCUGCUGAGAACGACCGGUCCGCCCUUUGGGUGUGUAUCUGGCUCUUUCUUGGCAUCUUCUUGGUGAACGUUGCUGCACUUGACUGUGUGGAGCGCUACCCAGGACUUUUACUUUGAGGAAAUUAGAGUGUUUCAAGCAGGCAUACGCCUUGAAUACAUUAGCAUGGAAUAAUAAGAUAGGACCUCGGUUCUAUUUUGUUGGUUUCUAGAGCUGAGAUAAUGAUUAAUAGGGAUAAUUGGGGGCAUCUGUAUCAACGCGUCAGAGGUGGAAUUCUUGGAUUGCGUUGCGACAAACUACUGCGAAAGCAUUUGCCAAGGAUGUUUUCAUUGA
Molecule: ribosomal RNA, 380 nt
Filed under: uncultured eukaryote
Lineage: Eukaryota
Description: partial 18S ribosomal RNA
Rfam family: Eukaryotic small subunit ribosomal RNA
Source: RNAcentral